UGUCUUAGAGCCACAGCUACUUCUGCCUCUCAUUCAGUCAAGACCAGCGCCAACUCACUCUUGUAGAGAACCCUUCAUGUGGAGUAGGGUUUGAGUUUGGAGAGGCCUUUCAGUUCUUCUCAUCUGGUUCCUCUCCUUGUAAGGCUCAGGAGAAGCAGCCAUGCUGUGGGCUGUGGCCCUGCUUCUAGCUUUCCUGCCUCCGGGCAGUCAAACAUCUUCCAACAUGGAUGAGGGAAUGACGGUAAUGACCAGGCCACGUGGAUCGUAUGUGGAAAUCACUUGCACUAUCCAUACACAAAGCAACUACAUCCACUGGUACCAGUUUCAAGAGGGGAGGGCCCCACGACGCCUUCUCUAUUACGACUUCUCCAAAUCCAAAGCUAUGUUGGAUUCAGGAGUUAGGUCAGGGAAAUACGAUGCUUAUGUGGGCACAGGAAGGACAAGUAAAUUCGUAGUACGCAACGUGGAAGAAAGUGACUCUGGGGUGUAUUACUGUGCAGUCUGGACCGGCACAGUGCUCCACACCUGUGCUAUGCUACAAUGA
Molecule: non-coding RNA, 544 nt
Organism: Chinchilla lanigera (long-tailed chinchilla)
Lineage: Eukaryota; Metazoa; Chordata; Mammalia; Rodentia; Chinchillidae
Source: the annotation of a RefSeq genome assembly